UACGAAGGGGGCUAGCGUUGUUCGGAUUUACUGGGCGUAAAGCGCACGUAGGCGGAUCUUUAAGUCAGAGGUGAAAUCCCAAGGCUCAACCUUGGAACUGCCUUUGAUACUGCCGGCCUCGAGGGGGAUAGGGGCGUGCGGAACUCAGGGUGGAGCGGUGAAAUGCGUAGAUAUCGUAAGGAAGACCAGUGGCGAAGGCGGGUCUCUGGACAGUUCCUGACGCUGAGGCACGAAGGUCAGGGGAGCAAACGGG
Molecule: ribosomal RNA, 253 nt
Filed under: uncultured bacterium
Lineage: Bacteria
Description: partial 16S ribosomal RNA
Rfam family: Bacterial small subunit ribosomal RNA
Source: RNAcentral